RNAcentral lists this ribosomal RNA (492 nucleotides) under uncultured bacterium. RNAcentral's name for it is "partial 16S ribosomal RNA". It matches the Rfam family "Bacterial small subunit ribosomal RNA", at positions 29 to 507 of the family's 1533-position model. The record is from RNAcentral.
AUUGAACGCUGGCGGCAUGCUUUACACAUGCAAGUCGAACGGUAACAGGCCUUCGGGUGCUGACGAGUGGCGAACGGGUGAGUAAUGCAUCGGAACGUACCCAGAGGUGGGGGAUAACGCAGCGAAAGCUGUGCUAAUACCGCAUGUGAUCUGAGGAUGAAAGCGGGGGACCGAGCAGCAAUGUUUGGCCUCGCGCCUUUGGAGCGGCCGAUGUGGGAUUAGCUAGUUGGGGGGGUAAAGGCCUACCAAGGCGACGAUCCGUAGCUGGUCUGAGAGGACGACCAGCCGCACUGGGACUUAGACACGGCCCAGGCUCCUGCGGGAGGGAGCAGUGGGGAACUGUGGACAAUGGGCGCAAGCCUGAUCCAGCAAUGCCGCGUGCGGGAAGAAGGCCUUCGGGUUGUAAACCGCUUUUGGCAGGAACGAAACGGUGUCCGCUAAUACCGGGCGCUAAUGACGGUACCUGCAGAAUAAGCACCGGCUAACUACGUG